This 138-nucleotide ribosomal RNA is filed under the name Phlegmacium caerulescens. Its description in RNAcentral is "Cortinarius caerulescens partial 25S ribosomal RNA". It matches the Rfam family "Eukaryotic large subunit ribosomal RNA", at positions 1 to 136 of the family's 3401-position model. Lineage: Eukaryota; Fungi; Basidiomycota; Agaricomycetes; Agaricales; Cortinariaceae. The record is from RNAcentral.
GUGACCUCAAAUCAGGUAGGACUACCCGCUGAACUUAAGCAUAUCAAUAAGCGGAGGAAAAGAAACUAACAAGGAUUCCCCUAGUAACUGCGAGUGAAGCGGGAAAAGCUCAAAUUUAAAAUCUGUCAGUCUUUGGCU